AACGUAGGAGGCAAGCGUUAUCCGGAUUUACUGGGCGUAAAGCGCGUGCAGGCGGUUUGGUAAGUUGGAUGUGAAAGCUCCUGGCUUAACUGGGAGAGGUCGUUCAAUACUGCCAGACUUGAGGAUGGUAGAGGGAGAUGGAAUUCCGGGUGUAGUGGUGAAAUGCGUAGAUAUCCGGAGGAACACCAGUGGCGAAAGCGGUCUCCUGGACCAUUUCUGACGCUCAGACGCGAAAGCUAGGGUAGCAAACGGG
Molecule: ribosomal RNA, 253 nt
Filed under: uncultured bacterium
Lineage: Bacteria
Description: partial 16S ribosomal RNA
Rfam family: Bacterial small subunit ribosomal RNA
Source: RNAcentral